CCUUGCCUUUCCCACCUCCUGUCUGAGCCUCACCAGGGUGGGCACAGCUUGAGGACAGAUGGACACCUCUGGUGACAAUGUCUGAUUUGGUCGAUGUCCGCUAAUCGCCUUAACAGCUGACUCCAAACCUGUCACCUGACGAGAUAAAUGUGUGUUUCCUUCUCGCAUCACGGUCCCUGGAGGCCAGUGGCGGGACUGGUGCUGGUGGAGGAGGAGUCCACCCGUUCUUACCUUCCCAGCCUGGAGGUGACACCUCACUGCCUCUCCUCUCCUGGUCCCAGCUGGACAGGAUCUGGGAAAUGGAGUGAGCAUCUAUCUGGGAAGAGGGCUCAGGUUUAGAGAGCAGGAGGUUGGCCUGUUUCCUGCCUUCUGGGACUGAGGAAGCCUCCUUGAUGGCCUGGCUUCCAGAAGCUUCCUCCCUUGAGGACCUGUGAUCUGGAUUCCUGCUGUCUCUUCCUUGAUAAUCCACUGAGGAAAGACAUCUGCUUGCCACUUUGGAUAGUUUUCAAGAAAAGAGAUAAUGUCCGAGUUGGAAUAAAUGUGCAAAAUUCACUUCUCUGUGGCAUUUGGGGCUUUCUGUGAAUAGUUGGUGAAAAAUCACUGUAGCAAAGAAACAGAGGCUAAACUAAUGGUGUAUGAAUGGGAACAAAAAAGAUCCUGGGGUAUUAAUAGACCAGUGAUGACUCUGAGUCUCAAUGCAGUGCCAUCAUGAGAAGUCUGGUAGACAGCCAGCCAAUUGGAAUACAAACAAAUGGGGUAUUUUGGCCUGGGAGGUUGUUGUCCUCUUGUUCUAUUCCUGGUCCAUUAGAACCUUUUGGAGGCUUAGUCUCCAAGUGGACCACUAUACCUGAAAAUGCAUUAAUUCCCAGCAUCUGACUCAGUCUCAUCAUGUUACAGAUCAGGACUCUGAAACCUUGAGAAGCUGAAUUAGGGUCCUGCAGUGGGUUAGAGGCAGAGAUAGAAGCAGAGAAUCUCUCUUGUGCCCUCUCUAGUGCUGUUUCCACUCUCUGUGGUUUUCCAGGGUGGUCCAACAAGGCAUUUACGCUGGGGAAUGACUGUGGGGGACCACAGGCUGACCCCAGCCAGGAAGACGCUAAGGGUCAUAGACAGGAUUUGAUGGACUUUCCUAGAGACUGGUCAGCACAGUCCUGGGCAUGCAUGGAUGCUGAGUCUGUGUGGUCCCCAGAUUGGCUAAUGAUCUUCUCUGGGAUGGGAAGUUUCUGGUUAGGAUGGUGCCACCUCAAUAUUUUCCAUACUGCAGAGGAAUAAAUAGUAUGACAGGUGACAGAACCCUGGGGUGGGCCAUGCAGGAUGGCCCUGUGUCCCUUCUCUGGAGGCUUAAAGGGGGAGGUCUGAGCAGAAGUCUCUAUCGCCCAGCUCGUACUCUGGGGAGCACCUACCAUCUCCCAGAGCCCCUUUCUUCCUGCAGUCGAUGAAGUAUUGCUGUAGAGAUGUGCUGUUUCUCAGACAUGAUUUGAAUGAAUGAAAAACUCUUAUAUGGUGGGUGCUAUUUUUAAGACAUACUAGCUGUGGAAUAAAAUUCUAUGAAACACA
Long non-coding RNA from Bubalus bubalis (water buffalo), 1554 nucleotides. RefSeq lists it as uncharacterized. NCBI's taxonomy places the organism in Eukaryota, Metazoa, Chordata, Mammalia, Artiodactyla, Bovidae. The transcript has 2 exons. The record is from RefSeq and is a predicted model, not a curated record.